GAUGAAGAACGCAGCGAAAUGCGAUACGUAAUGUGAAUUGCAGAAUUCAGUGAAUCAUCGAGUCUUUGAACGCACAUUGCGCCCUCUGGUAUUCCGGAGGGCAUGCCUGUCCGAGCGUCAUUGCUGCCCUCAAGCACGGCUUGUGUGUUGGGCCCCGCCCCCCGAUCCCGGGGGGUGGGCCCGAAAGGCAGCGGCGGCACCGCGUCCGGUCCUCGAGCGUAUGGGGCUUUGUCACCCGCUCUGUAGGCCCGGCCGGCGCUUGCCGAUCAACCAAACUUUUUUCCAGGUUGACCUCGGAUCAGGUAGGGAUACCCGCUGAACUUAAGCAUAUCAAUAAGCGGAGGA
Molecule: unclassified non-coding RNA, 345 nt
Filed under: soil metagenome
Description: partial contains 5.8S ribosomal RNA, internal transcribed spacer 2, and large subunit ribosomal RNA
Rfam family: 5.8S ribosomal RNA (bases 1-120)
Source: RNAcentral